RNAcentral lists this ribosomal RNA (849 nucleotides) under Psychrobacter sp. AI-2. RNAcentral's name for it is "bacterial SSU rRNA". It matches the Rfam family "Bacterial small subunit ribosomal RNA", at positions 28 to 869 of the family's 1533-position model. Lineage: Bacteria; Pseudomonadati; Pseudomonadota; Gammaproteobacteria; Moraxellales; Moraxellaceae. The record is from RNAcentral.
GUUGAACGCUGGCGGCAGGCUUAACACAUGCAAGUCGAGCGGUAACAGGAGAAGCUUGCUUCUCGCUGACGAGCGGCGGACGGGUGAGUAAUACUUAGGAAUCUACCUAGUAGUGGGGGAUAGCUCGGGGAAACUCGAAUUAAUACCGCAUACGACCUACGGGAGAAAGGGGGCAACUUGUUGCUCUCGCUAUUAGAUGAGCCUAAGUCGGAUUAGCUAGAUGGUGGGGUAAAGGCCUACCAUGGCGACGAUCUGUAGCUGGUCUGAGAGGAUGAUCAGCCACACCGGGACUGAGACACGGCCCGGACUCCUACGGGAGGCAGCAGUGGGGAAUAUUGGACAAUGGGGGCAACCCUGAUCCAGCCAUGCCGCGUGUGUGAAGAAGGCCUUUUGGUUGUAAAGCACUUUAAGCAGUGAAGAAGACUCCAUGGUUAAUACCCAUGGACGAUGACAUUAGCUGCAGAAUAAGCACCGGCUAACUCUGUGCCAGCAGCCGCGGUAAUACAGAGGGUGCAAGCGUUAAUCGGAAUUACUGGGCGUAAAGCGAGCGUAGGUGGCUUGAUAAGUCAGAUGUGAAAGCCCCGGGCUUAACCUGGGAACGGCAUCUGAUACUGUUAGGCUAAAGUAGGUGAGAGGAAGGUAAAAUUCCAGGUGUAGCGGUGAAAUGCGUAGAGAUCUGGAGGAAUACCGAUGGCGAAGGCAGCCCUUCUGGCAUCAUACUGACACUGAGGUUCGAAAGCGUGGGUAGCAAACAGGAUUAGAUACCCUGGUAGUCCACGCCGUAAACGAUGUCUACUAGUCGUUGGGUCCCUUGAGGACUUAGUGACGCAGCUAACGCAAUAAGUAAAC